GAAUUCACUAGUGAUUCAGGCCUAACACAUGCAAGUCGAGCGAACCCUUCGGGGUGAGCGGCGGACGGGUGAGUAACGCGUGGGUAACCUGCCCUAUACACACGGAUAACGUACCGAAAGGUACGCUAAUACGAGAUGACAUAUUUUUAUCGCAUGGUAGAAAUAUCAAAGCUCCGGCGGUAUAGGAUGGACCCGCGUCUGAUUAGCUAGUUGGUAAGGUAAUGGCUUACCAAGGCGACGAUCAGUAGCCGACCUGAGAGGGUGAUCGGCCACAUUGGAACUGAGACACGGUCCAAACUCCUACGGGAGGCAGCAGUGGGGAAUAUUGCACAAGUGGGCGAAAGCCUGAUGCAGCAACGCUGC
This 363-nucleotide ribosomal RNA is filed under the name uncultured bacterium. Its description in RNAcentral is "bacterial SSU rRNA". It matches the Rfam family "Bacterial small subunit ribosomal RNA", at positions 46 to 392 of the family's 1533-position model. The record is from RNAcentral.